GAUGAACGCUGGCGGCGUGCCUAAUACAUGCAAGUCGAGCGAACAGACGAGGAGCUUGCUCCUCUGACGUUAGCGGCGGACGGGUGAGUAACACGUGGAUAACCUACCUAUAAGACUGGGAUAACUUCGGGAAACCGGAGCUAAUACCGGAUAAUAUAUUGAACCGCAUGGUUCAAUAGUGAAAGACGGUUUUGCUGUCACUUAUAGAUGGAUCCGCGCCGCAUUAGCUAGUUGGUAAGGUAACGGCUUACCAAGGCAACGAUGCGUAGCCGACCUGAGAGGGUGAUCGGCCACACUGGAACUGAGACACGGUCCAGACUCCUACGGGAGGCAGCAGUAGGGAAUCUUCGCAAUGGCGAAAGCCUGACGGAGCAACGCCGCGUGAGUGAUGAAGGUCUUCGGAUCGUAAAACUCUGUUAUUAGGGAAGAACAAAUGUGUAAGUAACGAUGCACGUCUUGACGGUACCUAAUCAGAAAGCCACGGCUAACUACGU
RNAcentral lists this ribosomal RNA (494 nucleotides) under uncultured bacterium. RNAcentral describes it as "partial 16S ribosomal RNA". It matches the Rfam family "Bacterial small subunit ribosomal RNA", at positions 28 to 506 of the family's 1533-position model. The record is from RNAcentral.